GGAAGAUGGAAAUUGAUUCUAUAGAUUAUGGUUAUUAGAAUGGAAUUCAAUUCUUAUAGCACGCUCUUGACUCGCUUCCCUAUAGUAGAAGUGCAGUAUAUAAGUAUCUAUCCCAUAUUGCCAACAAUAAUACACAACUAUAUUCCACAUACAAUUAUAUUAGCUUAAUUAAUUUGUGUCUAAAUUAUGAUUAUUAGAGUGGAAUUCAAUUCCAAUGAUCCUUAGAGUGGAAUUCAAUUCCAAUGAUCCAAAUGGGGCCUAAUCCUUUUUGUCAUAUCAACUUCGCAUUGAUUGAGAAUCUAUGUCAAGGAUAUAAGAAAAUGAUCGGUCACGAUUUGAUUGCCACUUGGGGAGUUGGGAUUUGGGAUGAUAAGAGUGGUGGCCAUGCUCCUUUUUUGUCGAAACGAGAGUGGUGGCCAUGCUCCUGAUGAUAGUUCCAUUCCAGGAGGAAAAGUGAGAUGCCUUUUUCAUGUUGACGCACCUCAAAAGACAAAAUGAAAAGAAUAUAUUGUAAACAGAAAAUAUUGUACAGAAAAUAUUGUAUAUAAAAGAAAGGAAAUAUUAGUUGGUCCGCAGAAUAAAUAGGAUUCAAUGCAGUAACUACCAGCUAAUGUCCUCACCCCGGCCCACUAGUUCAGUGACACAACAACUAAAGUGUAAUCUAGAAGGUAUAAGGUUAUUCAAAGAAAAGAACUGAUUUGAAAUAAAACCACAUUUUUUUCUGGCAUUUUAGUUUGGUAGGUAUUUACCAAUUAUUGUUGAAGAAAAUUAU
This 772-nucleotide long non-coding RNA is filed under the name Setaria viridis. RNAcentral describes it as "long non-coding RNA (SVIR_LNC008798)". The record is from RNAcentral. Lineage: Eukaryota; Viridiplantae; Streptophyta; Magnoliopsida; Poales; Poaceae.